GUGGUGGGGUGUAUGCUGUUCUGGCCUGGGGUUGGGAGCGGGCAGAAACUCACUCACCUAGUUCCAGGUCAGUCGGCGGCGGAAUCGUGACUGUAAGAUCUUGAAAGAGCCACCUCCUGAGGGAUGUUGCCUCCCACAGUGAGCUGGACCCUGUUACAUCAAUUAACAAUCGAGAAAAUCCCCACAGAUCAAUCUGAUCUAGGGAAUCCCUCAGUUUAGGCAGGCUGUGCCUCACUAAAGCUAUCUAGGACAGAGUCCAACAUAUGUAAAAUAGUAAUUGCCACAGUGUAUUAGUUACACCUCCUUCCCUUUGCCUUUAAAAGGGGAUAUGGCAUUUUCAAAAAUAACUGUUGGUGAGAUUUGAAGAAAUUCACACAUGUACAUUGUUGGAGGGAAUCUAGAAUGAUGCUGUGUGUGGAACAUAAUUCUGGCAGUGCCUCCAAAAGCUGAAUGUAGUAUUAUCAUAUGACCUAUAAGUUCUGUGCAGAUGUACUCCAUGAGCUUUGUUUAUAAAAAUUGCACAUGAUUAUACAUAAUUAUUCACAUUGUGCAUUUUUUUAAAUACAGGGUUUCUCUGUAGCUUUGGAGCCUGUCCUGGAACUCCCUCUGUAGACCAUGCUGGCCUCAAACUCACAGAGAUCCUCCAAUCUCUGUCUCCUGAGUGCUGGGAUUAAAGGUGUGUAUCACCACCUCCUGGCUCACAUUAUACAUCCUUAUUCCUAAUAGUAAAAAUUAUGGCUACAACCCAAAUGUUUAUCAACUGGUGAAUAGUUAGAUAAAAUAUGGUAUGUAUCGUAUACUGGAAUUUUCAACUGCAGAAAGGAUAUAAGGAGUGAUAAAUACCACAAAAGGAUAAACACAAAACACAUUGUACUAAGUGAAAAAAGGCAACCACAAAACUCUACUUACUGUAUGCACUCAGCUGUAUGAAAUGUUCAGAAUAGACAAAUCUAGAGACAGUAGACCUUUGGUUUCUUAGAAAUAGAUGAAUUGGAGUUUACAGAAGGUCAUAGCUAAAAGGCACAGGCAACUUCUAAGGGUGAUGGAGUUAUCCUUUAAUUACCUGGUGGUAAUGUCUGGACCACUUUAUGAAUAUAGCAACAACUACAUACUUGAACACUUUAAAGAGGUGAAAUUUACACUAUGAUUAUUAUAUUUUAAUUAAUUAAACUUUCUGGAAGAGACAAUACUUGUCUAAAUGAACAGUUUAACGGUUUGGAUAAGAAUGGCCCCCAAAGGCUCAUAGAUUUGAAUGUUUGAGAAUGGCAUUAAUUAUUUGAAAGGACUAGGAGGUGUGGCCUUCUUGGAAGAAGUGAGUCAUUGGGAGUGGGCUUUGAGGUUUAAAAAGCCCACAGCAGGCCCAGCAUGGCUCUAUUUUCCUGCUGUCUGCUGAUGCAGGUUUAGAACUCUCAACUACUUUUUUCCAGCACCACGUCUGCUUCUCACCCAACAGGCUCUUUGCCAUGAUGACAAUGGAUUAAACCUCUGAAUUGCAGACUAGCCCCCAGCUAAAUGCUUUCCUUUAAAAGAGUUGUCAUGGUCAUAGUGUCUCUUCACAGCAAUAGAGCACUGACAAAGAUAAACAGCAAGUUCAUAUUUUUAAUAGUACACACAGAAACUUUACAUUUACAAGGUGCUUAUCACAGUGACCUGUAUGCAGAGGGACUUUCAGUGGAGGGAGACCUGAGCAGGCGGGAGACCAGUGAGGAAAUGAGAUUUUUCAAAAACAUAAAAUUUAAUAUUUAAAGUGAUUUGUAGCUUUAAUACUUUAUAUUGAAAUGUAAGCCAUAUGAGUAUAUUAUUUUAUUAAAAAUAGGAAUAAAAGCCAUAUAUCUUGCAUUUGGGGAUUUUCUUAUGUGAUAAUGAAGGUUAAAUGCAGGGUUUCACACUUCUCUACCAAUGAGCUACACAUCUAGCCUCUCCAUCAUUUUUACUUUUUUUCUGAGUCAGAUUCUUGCUAAGUUCACUAGACUCUCAUCUGAACUUCUUCAGAGGCUGAGAUUAUAGAUGCGUCUCACCAUGCUCAUUAUGUUAGAAUUUUAUCCCAGUUAGCUUGGUCUCCUAGAUGUGAGAAAUUGAGUACACAUAUACUGUUUGUUUUGAGAAACUUGAUUAAUUAUUAGUUUCCUUUACUACUUACAAUGCUUAGUUUACAUCCUGGGGAACCCUUUCUCUUAAGGAUGCAGGGUUUUCUAAAACUGAUUUUUCUUCUUUAUUUAUUUGUUUUACCUAUAUUGAAUAGAAACAAGUUCAAAUAAUAAAUAUUUAUGUAUGUGUAUGUAUAUGUGUGUAUGCAUAUGUAGACAUGAUUAGUGAAGCAAAAUAGUUUCACAUAAUAUUCUUACACUCUUUUAAAUUCUCCAAAAAAGUAGGAGAUACACUUGUAUAUACACAAACAUACAUACACAGAUUAACUCAUAGUAAGUAUGAACAUUUUAACAUCUUAGGAUUCUCACUUUUAGAAAAAUACAGCAUGUUCCUAUUUGCAUGUAAUAUCAAGCAUGUUUUUUACCCAAAAAGCAAUUCUGUCUUGUCUGGGAGACAAAUGAGUCCAAAUCUUCAGCUUAGCAUUUUAUGUCUCUUACUGAAAACUUCUUGACAAGGUCAGAAACUCCUGGUUCUGAGUAUCUCAAACCUGUUUGUCUCCACAUUCAUCACAUGACAGAACUGAAUGAGUUCCAGUUUGGGCAUCUGGACUACUCAUGGAAAUUUUAUCUUGGAAGGCCAGCAAUUACCUACACACAGAAAGAUGAUAGGUGUCCACACUAAAAUAUCCCACUAAGUCCUAGCUAAAUGUGUAUCUAAGUCCACUGUCAUCUAAGCCAGAUCUUUGGGACACUUCUGGCCAUUCCAGUACCACCCAAAAAGAUGAAAAAGUGAAGAAGGAAUACAAUCACAGAAAGAAAAAGGAUUUAUCCAUGUGAAUUACUUCUGGAGCUUCUCUUGGCUUUGCAAGAGGCCUAUGCAAGCUAGGAGUCUAAAGCUCAAGGUUCCUUAUUUCCUGGCCAACUCUUCCCUGUUUAUUCCUUAUAAUUAGAAAUGUUAACAAAAACAUGGUAUGCAAUAGUUACUCUGUACUGCACAUAUUGGUAGUAUCUAAAUUUUAUAGUUUGAUGCAUUUGGUACUGAUGCAUAUAUGCAUCCUCUAUAUCUCUUAGAAAACAUGCUGAUCAGUGAGAUGACUCAGCAGGGAACAGCUUGCCAACAAGCCUAAUGACCUGAGUUCAAUCCUUGGGGCCCACAUAGUAGGAGAAAACCAACUUCCCCAAGUUGUCCUGAUUUCCAUAUGUGUGCUGAGGUGUGCACAUGCCUUCCACAAAAUAAAUGAGUGAAAAAAUAAUUCCAGCAUUCAGGAGGCAGAGGCAGAGAACUCUGUGAGUUCAAGGCCAGCCUGGUCUACAGAGUGAGUUCCAGAACAACUAGGACUAUUUCACAAAGAAACCCUUUCUUGAAAAACCAAAACAAACAAACAAACAAAAGAAGUGUAACUUUCGGGUGUCUGUGUCGUGUAUGUGUGUGUAUGUGCAGGUGGGCAAGUGUGUAUGUACAAGCAUACAAAGGUGAGAAGUCCAUAGGUAUCUCCCUUAAUAUUGCCCACCAAUUCAUCAAGACUAAUUGGCCAAGAGCUUAGGGAGGGUCCUGUUUCUGCCUCCACAGUACUGUUAUUACAGAUGCUCACCACCACAAUGGGAAUCCAGACUCGACCUCUCAUGCUUACACUGCAAGCACAUUACUGGCCGGGCCAUCUCAUCAACCCCCACAACAGGUGAUUCAUGACACCUAUAACCUGGAUAUGUUUUUUGGAAAGUUAAAUGUGUAUGAGAAAAUGUUUAACUAUGUAGUAGCCAACUUAUAAACAGUAUCUAUAGCAUCCUGUUACUCAUCAAACCUCCCCAUUAGAAGUGCUGAAUGUCAGGCUAGGAUACAGCACAGUUAGAGGGCUUUUGUAGCAUGUGCAAGGUCCUGGUGUGAUUCCCCCCGCAAAGCAAAACAAUACAAAACAUGAAAUAUGCUUUCUUGUGAAAUCUUUUUCGUAGUACAACAAUGAUAAAAGCUGUGUCUUUUAAAUUCCACUUGUUGAGUCAUGCCUUCACAAACAGUAUUUGAGGUAAAGCUGUGAGUCUCAACAUUAAAUAAUUCCACCACAUUUUCCUCCAUUUUAAUUUAUUUACUUUUAUUUUCUUUUUUGGUGCAUGUUCAUACUGUAUGUGUGUAUAUGUGGAUGAACGUGGAUGGAAUUGUGUGUGCAUGCACGCGAGGUCCAGAAGUCAGUGUGAAGAGUCUCCCACUAUUACCCUCACCUUAUCUUUUGAGAUGGUGUCUCUCACUGGUCACUGAUUGGCUACUAGGCAGGUCACUGAGCUCUAGGGAUCCAUCUGUCUCUUUCUAAAGGCUCACACCACCUCAGCCUUUAUGGAAGUGUCAGGCAUCUGAACUCCUGUCCUCAUGUUUACACAGUAGGCAUUUCACUGACUGAGACAUCUCACCAGCCCUUGAGUAUUUUUAGAAGAAAAUUUCCCAGUAAUGACUUUAGUAAAAACAAUAACAGGAGCAACAAAAUGACAACAAAAAGUCAAAAUCUUCCAAAUAGAACUAUUUUUCCUCAUUUAAAAAUAUUUCUGGUACUCACAAUUGCAUAGUUUAACAGCCAUGUGACUCUACCAUAAGGAAGACAUACUCUUGGUACUAAAAGAAGAUACCAAGAGGGGGGAUGAUUCUUCUGGAGGAAUUCAUUCCCUUUGUGGAUGAAAAUCGCUUUGAGAACAGGCAUACCAAUUUGUGUAGGUGUAUUUAAAACAGUAUUAUCGUAUCACUAUAACUUACUGGAGAAUAUGUGAGUUGGCAGUCAGUGUAUUCAAUAUUCUAAGUUUAGUAUUCUCAAUGUGAUUGGGUAGAUCAAAACAUAAAUUUGGGAUUCCAAGGAAUGAACUCUUGGGUAGCAAAAUUAGAUUAAUGGCCAUUUUUAAAUUGAUAAGCAUAAUAUAUCUGAUUUGCACAUCCUAACUGUAUGAUAAUGUUUACAUGUGACUCAUCCUAUUCCAUAUAAAUGAGUAAUGUUAUUUAUGCAAAUUACCAAGGACAUUGCCUAGCACAAAGGAAAUAUGUUAGCAUGUUAAUGCAACCACUUCCUUCCAGUUAAAUUUAAUAAAGACACUAGUUAGAAAUCAUUAUAUCCAAAGUUAUGCUGGACUGUCUAAGAAAAUAUAUCUGUUUAACUUAUUUAAGUAUAAAUGUAGGUCAUGAUUUUAAGAUCCAUUCUAACAAAUAUACAUUUAGGUUUCAGCCUAUGAGAAGCAAGAAGAAUACUAUCUAAAAGAUUAUGAAUUCUCUUUACUUUGAGGAGUUUAUAGCUUUUUGCCAUAAUUUGUGGGUAAAACUGUAAAGUAGGCCUAUGCUGUAACUAAAUUUGGAGGCAGUCAUACAGCGAGACCUGGAGUGUCCAGACAGAAUGUGGGCUGAACUCUUUCUGAGUGGACAGAGCAUCUGGGCAUCAGUGAUAGAAUCUUCCUUACAGGAGAAAUGUUUAAUUCAACUUGAGACUUUAGGAAAGUUGUCUAAGAUAAACAAGAGCUUGACAGGUCUUUCACUUCCCAGGAUCAGGAAAUUGAAUGAGAACCCAAGAUCUAAAGUCCCUGUGUCAGCUGGGACUUGGGUCUGAGAAGAGCUGGGACUGGUAAUAUGGGCUGGAUGAACCUUAUAUUCAGAGAACUAGGAAGGGACCUUCACCAGCAGCAUGUUUUGUGGAUGUAAGAGUUCUGGGAAUGGUAGAAUCUUCAUAAGUUCCUUUGCUAGUUAAUUUCAUUUUUGUUUCCUUUUUUGAGGGUGGGAGCAAGGACAGUGUUAGAGAUUGACAGUGCUUGAACAAAAACACAGAGCAAAUAGAGUUGUUGUUGUUUUUUUUCAGUCACACUUUGACUAUAUAUUGGUGUCAGUGAGCAGGAUGACCCCCAUGCCCCAAGGUUCCUAGAGGAAGAGGGAAACCUGCUGCCACUGCCUACCCUGUUGGGCCGCUGAGAGACAUCGGAGCAGGUUCCAUACGCUCGAGCAGUCUCUGUGCUCUUGGGGGUUGGACUCUGGCACUCCCGAGAUGGCCUGCAGCUCUUGAGGGUUCUAGGGUUAGGAUUCUGAGCUCUCACCACCACAAGCUAUCUUCGUGCAACUAGUCGAACAGUGGCAGAACCUGGGCAGCUGGAGGUAGUGUUACGAGCUUUCAUGUAAACUUCACAAAAACUUAAAAAUGAAUUUUAGCAGCAAAAGAUCAGAGACAAGCACGACUUCUUGCUAGCAUCAUUUUCUUGGGUGGUCUCUGUUUUGCUAGAGACAAGCAAAGACUCGAGUGGUUGCUUUAAGAGAGAUUUCCUGACUCAGCAAAAGCAGAAAAAAACUGCAGGACUCUUUAAGAGGCCCCUCUAGCUCAGUUGGCAGAGCAUGAGACUUUUGAUGUGGGUUCCUGCCCUAUGCAGCUGGCAGUGGCAGUGACCACAUCUCCAAGGCGGCAGCGUGCUCCUUGAAAGAUAUCGGCUAAGAAAGCUGCCACUUUAAUUUUUGUGGUGUUGUUUAACAGUUAAAAGACUGCAUGUCCAGAAGAAGGUAAAGAUUUACAAUAAAGACAGAUCCAGAUAAAGAAAAACCUCUGAAGUGUUUAAAAAUAUAUGUAGGCUUGUGAGAGAAAAAGUAACAGGAGGAAAUAGAGUAGCUGGGUGUGGGGGCACUCACCUUUAAUCCCAGCACUCCCAAAGCAGAGGCAGGCAGAUUUCCACAGAGAAACCCUGUCUCAGGAAAAAUGAAAGAAAAGGAAGUAAAAAUAGAAAAAUAGAAAAGCCACCCAAAGAUGAAAAAUACACAGAGAGUCUGGAUACUAUAUGCUAUAUUGUCUUUAAAUUGUUUGAUUGCCGAGGAAAGAGUUUCUGCUACUAAAAUACAUUUGAUUAUAAAUACAGCUAAAUUAAUCCAACUUAUACAUUUUAAAAAUGCUUUGACUUCAAAAUUUAAGUCUAAGGACAGGCUACUUGAAAAAAAAAGUUUUUGCUUGUGUUUCCACAGAAAAUCAAAAGCUGUGGAUUCCUUCCAGACUAAUAUGGUUUGAUCAAGCAAGACCCCUGAAGCUGAGAUGAUACAGUCUUACAGACUAUGAAAACAAGGACUUGGUCGAAUUUCUGUGUUUUAUCAUGAUCCCUAUGGUAUGGACAUCACCCCCAAUCAGCAGGAAGCAGUUUGGAAUGAACUACGCCUAAAUUCCCAAAUAUUGUUUAUAAAUGUUUGUUUUCAUUUAAAUGGAGUUGGUUAUAAAUGAUAAUGAGCAUAGUCAAUCUCUUUUCUUAAAAAAGGGGGGAUAUAGGAUAUAGGAAUGAAUACUUUGCAUUGAUAUGGACUUUCAUUUAUUGAUGCAACUUUAAGAUCAAUUUUGUGAUAUGUAUAUGUCUCCUCUUGUUUAGAUAUUGUGUUUAUACAGAUCUUUUAAAAUGAUAUACAUAAUUAAAUACAGGUUAUAUAGUUAUCUAUAAUAGUCAGAACUUAUAAUUAGGUUAGUUAGGUUUUCUAGAUAUACAGAGAUGUAUUUGAGAUGGAUAGGUAUUCUUUAAUUAAAUCUUUCAAAGACCGACAGAAUAUAUGGCAUUUAAAUGGUUUAGGGUUUUUCUUGGCAGUGAGACACAACUGCUCCUGGCACACCAAUUACAUCAGAAAGGAGGAUGGGCAUCGAAGAAACUCGUUAUGGAGUUUGCUUUCAACAUGGCAAGAUUAGCCAUUUGGGCAAGAAACUACUCUUGCCUGGAUUGUUUGUUGCUGUAUAAACUGGACGUGCAGGACCCACAAGAAAGUGACUGCUGAACUUACAAAACAAGACAGUACUGAAGGGUCCUGUUGAAAUGCAGAAGUGUGCCAGACACACAGCAGAUGUGGUGCUGGAGCUCAGAGUCCUACAUCUUGACUCAGAGGCAACAGGAAGUCAGCUGGCUGUCACACUGUGGGAAACUUGAGCAAAAGAGUCCUUACAGCCCACCCUCACAGUGACACACUUCCUUUAAGAAGGCUACAACUCCCAAUAGUGCCACUCCCUUUGGGGGCCAUAUUCUUUCAAACCACCACACUUGGGUGCAGCUUCCCUGUCAUAUAUAGAAGACACAGCCUCACAGCAGACAUCCUGUCUCUCUGGCUUUUACGAUCUUCUUAAUGCUUACAGAAGGCAUGCAAAACCUUGCAUCUAUUCCAUCUCUAGAUGUAUCUCUGCUUCAGCCAAACCUCAUUACACACUGUUGCUUUCCAGUGUCUUAUCAGCCAUGUGUUUAAGUGCUUCACCCUGAUUAGAACACACUUCCUGUCAUGUAACAUGAAAAAUAAAAAGCCCCAGAGACUGAUAUUGGGGUUCAAACUUCAAGCUGAAGAUCAGAAAAGAAAAGCAGCCAAUCCUAGCUUUUACCUUUACCUCAGGCUGAAAAGGCUGAUCCUGCUGCCUCUCCUCAGAGUGACUGGAGAUUCCUGAGACUGAAUGUCCUCCUAUCCUCAAUGUGUCUGGAGGAUGAAUUCUCAAUACUGAGACCUUGCUCCUGUCUUAUAUACCUCUCAUGAGUUCCAGGAUUAAAGGUGUGAGCUCUAAUUCUCUUUUAAACUGAUUUACUCUAAUGUGUCCUUGGGCGGCCUUGAAUUUAGAGAGAUCCAUCUGCCUUUAACUCCUGAAUCCUGGGAUUAAAGGUGUGUACUACCACCUACUGACCUCUAUAGCUUGUGGCUGACUUUGCUUUCUGAAUCCUCAGGCAAGCUUUAAUAAAUCAUAAAUGAUACAUCACCACACUAUCCUCACCUCAGAUUCACCUGGGAAAAUGGCUUGGACUUUACCAAGACUUAACCCAACUGACACUUACUUCUUGUUUCACACCUUACCUCUUUGCCAUUGUGUCAAGGAGGUGUCUGGGUAGUCACUUCCCACUGAUAUACACAAUCUCUUCUUUUUGAGCACUGCAAUCAGUAGCAUUUCAACAUAGCUCCCACCAUAUCUUACCGCAUGGCUUUCCACUCCUGAAUCUCUCUCCCUCUGCUGUGGGCUCCUCAGGAGUGGAGGUCAAGUUAGUUGCAACAUGUCUCAAGUCACAGUUUGUCCAAUGCCCAUUAAAUGUAUAUUGAAUUAAAAGUUGGAAAAUCUAUGAGUGAACAGAUGUUUGUGAGGGGUGUAAGUGAAUGGACACUGAAAUCAGACUGGAUAGGUAUCUAUAAUUCUGUUCAAUUAAAUGUGAUAGUGCGCUGGGCAGUGGUGGCACACGCCUUUAAUCUGAGCACGUGGAAGGCAGAUCUCUGAGUUCAAGGCCAGACUGAUCUACAAAGCAAGUUUCAGGACAGCCAGGAUUACACAGAGAAAUCCUGUCUCAAACCACUCCCCUACAAAUGUGACAGUGUUAUGUAAACUUCAGAGACAACCUCACAGCAACUCUGGAGCUAAAAUUCAAACCCAGAUCUUCCAAACCAGCACUGUCUGUAAUAUUGCCUUCUAAAUUUAAAAUAUUGGAUCUAGGGUCACAGCUCAUUGGCAAAGCAUUCACCUAGUGCAUGCAAGACCUUAGGCUCAAUAUCUGUUACUACAAAUAUAAUAGGUAAGUAAGUAACAAUAAAGCUAAAAUGGCAAAUUUGAAAACAUUGCAUAACAGGUCAGUAAUAUAGUUUGUUCAGGUUAUUAAGCUGGGUCUUUUUAAAUAGAAGAGACAAGUAAUCCCUUCCUUCAAUACAUUUAACUGCUUUUUGCUUCCUUAUGUCCCCUACUUGUCCCAUAAUGAAAGGGUUCAUUAAAAUUUAGUCACAGUUAUCUUUGGUUGUGCUAAUAAAAUGUUAAUAUUCUUACCAUCCAAACUCAAGCUGGUACAAAAAAAAAAAACUUGCUUCAAAGCGAGUCUAUUUUAUAAAGAUUUCUUCCUCCACUUCCUCCCUGCUACUAUUUCAGCAGUAAUGAAAAUGUCAGGACAUUGGUCAGGUGUUGCCUCUCUCAUAUCCCUAGUUCUGUAGCUCACUCCAGGAACACCAUCCAUGGAUGCUGCCAUCACCUAAGCUACAAAGGGAAAGCAACCAUGUCCUCUUGCCAGUAAUGUUUGAGCACCAUGUGAGAUUUCACCCCCACAAGGUUCAACACAUACCAAGUAUGAUAAACAUGGCAGGUCUUCCUUGUGUGAGUUCAACUCAUCACAAAACAGGCCUUUGAAUUCUUCAGUGCAAUAAGAUCAGUUCAAUGCACAAGUCUUGUCUCAUAAAGCAAAUUGGAACUUCUUUACCAAAAAAAAAUGAUAUCUCUUCAUCCUUCCCACACCCCCCUCCAUUCCAAAGGCUUCCUGAUUGCUCCUCACUUUCCCCAGGUGUGUGCACUGAUAAGAUACUUUGCAAUGAUAUGUAGUGACUUGUCAUUUUCACAGACUUCAAAUUGAAAAAAAAGCCCUCUCCUAGGACUUCAGGUUGUCACCAAGGAAAUCAGGGAGUUGAUAUGGCCUCAGCACUGUCACUGUGUGUCUUGUCUGUGAAUGUGACUCAGAGAGAGAAGGAGAAAUAAAGCCCAUUCUGCCUCAGAACUGCGGAGAUUAGAAAGACUCCAUUCUUGAUAAUCUCUGGAGGAAGGAGAGUCCAGACUUGAUUACGUAGUUUUCCCAGAGCCCUCUAUUAAAAUCUAAUAUGUGUAGCAUUUAAUUUUUAAUCACAUAUAUGCAAUUAAAACAGCCAUCUAAGUUUUUGCAUGUGCUUCUAUAGACUAGAAAACCAUCAAUUCUGAGGUCAAGGGCAUCUGUGCUCCUUCAUACAGAAGGGAGUCUCCCGUAUGAGCAGCCAACAAAGGGAAACCACAAUAGAAAUCUAGAGAACAUAGAUGAGUUAAUAAUUAUUCCCAUUUUACAAGUUUUACAACAGCCACAAUACAACCAAGCCCCACAAAACUAAGUGUUUGGCCUUAACUCUCUUACAUUCUAAACUGUGGACCAAGGAUCUAAUUCAACUUCAUUUUUCCUUCCUAUUCCCUCCCUUUCCUUCCUCUCUCCUUCCCCUCCUCUCCCAUCCCCCCUUUCCUUCCAUCCCCUUUCCUCCUCUUAUCCUUUGUGCAUUCAAAGCAAGCGCCCCACCAAGUAGCCAUGUCUCAGACCCCGAACCCUCACUUAUAAUUAUAUCAACAUUUUGCCAUGAAAAUUCAUAAUAUACAAAUAUGAAUACCAUAAACUGGAGUGAGGUCCAUGAACUUAAAUUUGAACAAAGUAUUUCAUAGGUGCAGAUAGAAUAAAACAGCACAACAAACUCACAAACCUGUCAGCAUGAACUGAGGACAUUUUAUGUGGCAGAGAUGACUAUUAUACCAUUUCUCUUUUGGCAGAACUUAUAUUUACUUACAGUAAAUACUUUAAAGAUAGACUUUAAGGGCUAAAAAGACAAUAAUAUUUUAACUAAUGACUAGACCAUCAAGCUUAUUAAAUUGUUUCAUAAUCUCUAGCACAUGGACUUGGAACAGUUCCAUUUUCCCUUCUAACAGCAUUUGAUACGGGACCUUAGGGACACAUGGGUGCUGGAUGUCACUCCAUAGGGCAUAGUUUCUGCUUCAUUCAGAUGCUCACACCCUGUGAAGAAGUAAAAGCUCAAAAUUGAAUUACCAUGGGUAUAAGAGAAUGAUUGCAAUAUGUGAGCAGUUCUUUUUGUAUGACCUGAAGAAAAUGUAUAAAGAUUUGUGUUAUAAGUAUUGAUGACCCAGCACAGGGAGGCUGAGGCAGGAGGAUCAAUGCUAAUUCAGGACUAGCCUAGCCUAUAUAGUGAAUUCUAGUCCAUUCAGGGCUAUGUAGUGAGAACCUGGAAUUUGUGGGGGAGAGAAUAUGAAUAUAUCGUGUAUGGGGUGAAAGAGUGAGGCUUAUUUGGAAUUAAUUCAGACCAUCUUCCCUCUGAGCAAGACCUUCUUUGUCCUGCAUGUCCCAGCUAACACUAAGCAGUACCCCCAAAUAAUAAUUCAUCAGAACAAUUUUCUUAAGCUUAAUAAAAGUCUCUGAGUCAUUCCUCCAAAAGCCAUCUGCUGAGUCCAAUAUGAGAGGGUGAUUAGUCCCAAGUUCACAACUAUGUCCCCAGCCCAAACGGUCCCAUCUACAAUGAAUAAGUGUGCAGAACAGUUCAGAAACAGAGUUGGAAGAACAAAAGAGAAAGCUCUAAAGUGUUGUGUCCUACUAAGGGACAAUUAACAGAUCCUCAGUCUGUGUCACCUAAAUAUCAUAUAUGUAAAUGGUGCAUGCUCUAUUUGGCUUCAUAUUUUCUGAAAGAAACUCAUUUAAGUUCUUAUACAGAAUCUCUUAAUGUAUCAGUGAGAAGGCUGAGACUACAAGGACCUGCCAAUCACCGUCUCCAUACUACUCCCAGAUUGGGACCAGUCUGUAGUACUCCUUUUACACAGCCCGCACGUUGAUUGCUUCCUGGCAUGAUCAGUGUAGGAGCAGGCCGAGUUUCGUUUCCAAACAUUCAUUCCAAAUAUGCAGCCCCAAAUCCAGAAGAGCUGCUUAGAGAUGGUCGGCAUGUACUCUAAGGAGGAGACCACUUGACAGUACCUGGUCAGGCAGCAAGCAUGGGAUGAAUACAGGCUGGGCUCCUGACAGCGCACUGGAGAAAGAGCACAGGACCAUGCACGUGGCUCAUUUUUACUGUUUAUGAAUUUUUUGUUUAUGAGGCUGAAAUCACAAGCAGAAAGCUGUUUCUAACUCCUCUAGGCCUCCCUCCACAGAAGGAGUGUCACUUUCUAGAACGGUGCCAUUCCAGUUGGCUGAGGGCUCUAUCUAGUCAUUUCAGUUCAUUGAGAAACAUAGAUGAAACCUGAUGGGUUGCAGUAUUACUUUUUGUUGAAUGAUGGGCUCAGGAUUUAGUCAUUAAAGUGGUAUCAUGUCAUAUCAGAAAACUUUCUCAAUGCAUUUGUGUAGUAAUAAAGUAACCUAUAAAACUAUGACUGAUGGGAUUUCCGUAAAAAUGACAUGAAUUUUACAGCAUACAAAAGGGAAUUUGGCAAUGAUAAUCUGUAAAUGAUACAGAUUUCUGUCUUUAAGUUUUUCUUUUUGUAUUUCUGUAUUUUCAAAAAUAUUUUCAAAAUAGAUGUUUCCUUUUAAAAACUUAAUGAAUUAAUAAAAUUAUGCACAAUAAAAUCUCUUCAC
Molecule: long non-coding RNA, 13130 nt
Filed under: Cricetulus griseus (Chinese hamster)
Lineage: Eukaryota; Metazoa; Chordata; Mammalia; Rodentia; Cricetidae
Description: lncRNA (ENSCGRG00015035025.1)
Source: RNAcentral